Long non-coding RNA from Zingiber officinale, 4839 nucleotides. RefSeq lists it as uncharacterized. The transcript is spliced from 6 exons. NCBI's taxonomy places the organism in Eukaryota, Viridiplantae, Streptophyta, Magnoliopsida, Zingiberales, Zingiberaceae. The record is from RefSeq and is a predicted model, not a curated record.
UUCCUCACUCAUUGCCCGACCGAAAUCACCGUCCCUUUCUCCUCCUCGCCUCUUAGUCCCGACGAAACCCUCGGCGGUGCUUUGAGAUCCGACCAGGACACACCUCAGCAGGCGAUUCUCCUCUAAGGACGACGCGAUCGGAAGUGGAAUCUGGCAACCUUCUUCCCGCCGGCGCUAACCUGGAACGAGGGCUUCGGAGAUAACACGCGGAAGGGAAAGGCAAGUUCAUAUCACUAUGAUUUUGUGAAAUCCACAAGGUAGGGGAGAGUAGCAUAGAAGGUUUAGAAGUGCUCACCGAUGAGGUUUGCUUGAUCAGAUGGUCUGUGAAUCCAUGUUCUGUGAUGAUUCUUGCUUCGCCGGUGGUUUCCCUCAGGUUUUCUCAUGGGAAUUGGGGAUCAAGCAUUGAGGGAGGAUUUAGGUUUCGGUGUUUUGAUGCUUUACUAUCGAGAAUUGUCGUUUGAUUUCUUUUGGGGAUGGGUUUCUCUUCCAUAAAGUUCUGUUUUGCUUUGAGGAUUUAUUGAAGAUCUUGCUUGGCUCACAUGAUUUUCUUGCUAGCUUUCGCCGAUAUACUUUGUUCAAUGAAGUUUAUGGAUAAUGAAAUUGUCUGUCAUGAUUUUCGUAGCGUUCAUCUGGCUGUAGAUGAAUUUGGGAUUUGAUUUCUUCCAUGAUGUUAAUGAAGCGAGUUCUGGAUGUUAUCUGUUUGUGUAUAUGUCUGACCGAGAUGUAUUUAGUGGAAUGAGUUUCGUUUUGAGUUCUGUAAAACCUUGGGCUGGGUUCUGGUCCCUGUGAAGUCUUCCGGACGAUUUUGAGGAUGAUCUGUGUUCUCCUUGGGUACUCAAGAGUUUCGGUUGGACGGUUGGUUUACGAUUUUCCUCGUUAUUCUAUUGUUCUAAAUGUAAGCUGAUCUGUUCUUAGAAUCGAUGUGGUUUUGGGAUGAAUAUCCACGUGAAUUGUUUCUUGUUGACUUGCUCCUUGUAUGAGAUUCGAUUUCAUGAUGAGGAUUUUGUUGUUGGAGCUUGCUUUUCAGAAGAUUGUCUUGCCUCUCGUAGUUGUUUAGUUUUUGGUGGCAGGAAUUGGUUGAUAGGGUCUGAAAUUACUUUAAUAUAUUCAGUAGUAUUGUAAUUGGAAUAGAUAUUGGUUUUUGUUUUUUUUCUGCAAUCGGUCAUUUAAUGUUGAUGUCCUUUCCUUUAGUUCUUUAAGACGAGCAUGGUUAAUAAAUGGAUGGAGAUAGUUUCGGAUAGUUAUUGUUCUUUUGUGUUGGCUUGGGAUUUUGGUUGGGUUCUCGUGGAAUUGACAACAAUAUAAUGAUUCGGUUUGAGGUGUACUGGUUUUACUUGUGAAGGUUUUGAUUCCUGUCUCUCCUAAACAGAUUUAGUGGAUGUGUAUCAAUUUCAAGUUUAUUUUUAUGAUUUACUGAUGUGAUUGGGACUUUGUAGGGGAUUGACUCAGUUUCCUUCUAAUUAUUGUAGUUUGCUGUAGUUUAAGUUUUUUUAUGCCAAUUUUAAUACUUGUGAGCUAUUCUCUAGUUUUGUUAUGUAAGAGAUGAAUUCUUCUUUUCAGUAGCUUAUUUACUUUAUGCAUGAAAUGGGCUCUGAUUGGGUUUUUGUGAAAUUCUAUGUCUAAAGAAUGAAUAAUGUAUUCAACUGUUAUAGGAAUGAUGAAUAUGGAAAGAAUGACAGGAAUAUGCUAAGAAAUAAGUGACUGGAAUUUAUUAUGAUUAUAUAAACCUAUGUAGCUAAUUGGAUGAAUAUGAGCAUAUGUGGUAGUAAUACGGGAUGGGUGACCCGGGAUGAGCUCCGGGGAGGGCCUAUCCAAACUUGACUGAUAUGGUUAGCUUCGGCUAUAUGACUGGAUGCAUGUUCUCUACGAGGUACCUCUAGGUUCAUGGGACUGUUGACUGGCUCUAAUUGUGGUUACCGGAUAUGUGACAUAUUCACCUUAGUAGCUACGUAGGAUCACUGUUGCGUGUUAUAUCUCUCUAUUAUAUGUGGCAUAUCGUACUUGAGUUGUGUUAUGGUUUCUUUAAAAGGCUUCUAGUUGCUAUUUUUACUACCUUAUGGAUAUCCUCAUGUUCACAUUGGUCUGUACUUGCUGGGUCGUAGACUCACCACAUUUAUAUCACAUGUGAGGAUGACUUCCAGGAUAUGCCGGAAGGCCCACGGGCGGAGUAGACGAGGAGGCGGGAUGGACGCAUGGUACUGUCCGUUAUCCGGCAGUGCGGAGCAUACUGGAUUCACUGCAAGAGUUAUUUUCAUUUCUUUAUCAUUCGGUUGUUUCUUGCAUACUAGUAUGCAACAGAAGGACGACAAAGGUUCGACGUGAUCUUGGGGCUCUUCCUCGAUUGCCUCAACAUCUUUUCCACUCUUGGGCAUUCCCCUGCCAUCGAAAUCAGUUACCCUGGUCUGGACAUGCAACUACUUUUGAAGUAAGCUUCUUCUUUCUUUUGAUUGUGUAUCUGUAAAGCUAAAUCCACUGCUGCAGAGGUUAGAUUGGGAAGGUAUGUGUAAAUUCAUCCAAGCAGUUUGUGUUCUGUCUCUAUAAAUUCAUUGUUUGUUGAAUUCUAUUGGGUACUCUUGUGAUCUCUACAUUACUGUGCUAAAAAACGAGUGUUCUUUCUUUAGGUGCACUGUAGUUGGACUCCUCCUUGUUCUUUGCAGGUUGAAGUGUAGUUGUCUGAUAAGUAUAGUUGUCUGAUAAGUUAUAUUCAUUGAAUCAACAAGUGAGAAAGAGGAGUUCAAUGAAAUCCUACAUAGCAUAAUAAAAUUGUUGCGUGCACUUAUUGCUCCAUCCGCCAUUAAUAUAUGAUAACAUGGGUUCAAGAGACAAAUCUUAGCUUCCUUUUUUUUAUAAAAAAAAUGUUAACUUCCUUAAUUGUUAUCAUCCUGUUAUUUGUUCCUAUGACCUUUAUUUUCUCUCAAGUGCUGCCUAGUCACCUACGCAUGUUAUAUCGUUUGCAUGGUAUUUAAUGUUAUUCAUGUCUUUGAUAAGUGAUACUAGCUAUUUUAUAUGUGCUAAUCAAUCCCAGAAAGAGUGUGAGUACCUUAUUGAAUUAGCAAAGCCUCACAUGCAGAAGUCAACAAUUGUAGAUAGUGUGACAUGUUGGAGUAAAGAUAGCAGGGUGCGGACAAGUGUUGGCAUGUUUCAUAGAAGAGGACAAGACAAAAUCAUCCGAACAAUUGAGAAGAGAAUAGCAGACUUUUCCUUCAUACAGAUGGGUUCUAUUGACAAAGUUUCUUAGCGUGCCACCAACGUUCCAAGUAACAUCAAAUGUUGUCCAGAAUUUGACAAUUACAAAAAUUCUUAUGCGCAUGUUGAUCCUUGUUACUAGUGUUGUCAAGCACUAACAUUGCAAAAUAGUGUGACAACUGACAAUCAAGACUACAUGGAAUAGUAUCAUCCUCAAAGGUACACACACUUGCUGUAUAAGGAUAUGGUCAGUAAAAUUAUAAAGUUGCAACCAUUAGCCAUAUCACUAAAAAUUGGCAAGAUAUCAAAAAUUUACACUUCCAACUUCAUAUAGCAUUAGUAUUAUGCAUUGAAAUUGAUAAUAAAAAAAUAUAAGUAGAUUAACAGCUAGGGUUGUUUUUCUUUAAAUUAUUAAUUUCCUUGUCCUGAGUCCAAUUACUCUCAACUUCCCAAACUAAAUCAAGUAAAUGACAAGAAGUUCUAUUAUUUUCUUAAUAUUGUUUAUUUGUCAUAUGUUAGUAAAUUGAGGACUCACAAUGUUCUUCAUUAAUUAUUGUUAAUGCAAACUAGUAUGGUUAACCUAAAAUUGGAGCAAUAACAAAGAGUGUCUGCAACUCUUCCAUCCUUCAACUUGACUGAUGUUACCUGUUAAUAACAAAGAGUAUCUGCAUCGAGCACUCUUCCAUCCUUCAACUUGACUGAUGUUACCUGUUAAUAACAAAGAGUAUCAUCUAAUUCCUGACAAAACAAAACACACACUGCUAAAGAAUAAAAACAUACAUCCCCAUUGGUGUCAGAAUUAAAUCUGAUGACUAGUGUGCCCUUGUCUAUUUUGACUCCCUUGUUUGCAUAAUAAGCUUCAUAGAAAGCAGCGAUAUCUGGAGUAAAUAGCCUCGGCACUGCAUGAAGGAAGAGAGAUUAAGGAUCCUGUGACACGGUAAUUGACAAGUCUCUUAUAUUUGUUGCUUGGGUAGAAUUAACCAAAGAUAAUUCUUUCGGACCAUGUACUUCUGCAUAUAUGGUGUUAACUUUGAUUUUGUUAAAGAGAGAUAGGGAGAAGUUAAAGGAUAUAGGCAAUGGACAUACUGUACCAGGGUUCAGGAUACACCAUAGUGACAUCAAAGUUGUUAAUCUUCGUAACGGCACUAAGUUCAAGCCCAAUGUAUCCACCUCCAACAAUGACAGCCUUCCCGUUCUUCUUUGCUUGGAUGGCCGCCACAAGCUUGUCAACAUCAUCAAUUUCCCUCAGAUACAAUAUAUUUUUAGCAUCAGCUCCAGGAGUACCAAAAUCAGAGAGAUUUAUGACCUACAAAUGUCAUGUUACAAAAUCAAUAAUAGAACAUUGUCAACAAUCACCCUAUUCUUCAGAACUACAAUGAACGGAAAGAAAGGUAGCAGUAUUCAGAUCGACAUUUGCCUGGCGCCAAACGCAACACCACAAUCAGAAAGCAUGAAGAAAUCUACCAAGGAUCAUAAUGGCAAAGUCGCAAUACCAAUGAGGAAAUUGAUGAUGGAAGUGUGGGAGUUUGCCAAAGAGGACACAGACAGGGUGACUUUUCCCUCAAGGUUGGCUUGGCUUGCCUCCUCGUCUCCCUUCUCAUUCUCAUCCAACCACCUUAUCAAGUCUUCGGCACCAACUUCAUAUUAGAAAAG